This 253-nucleotide ribosomal RNA is filed under the name uncultured bacterium. RNAcentral describes it as "partial 16S ribosomal RNA". It matches the Rfam family "Bacterial small subunit ribosomal RNA", at positions 524 to 776 of the family's 1533-position model. The record is from RNAcentral.
UACGUAGGGUGCGAGCGUUGUCCGGAAUUAUUGGGCGUAAAGGGCUCGUAGGCGGUCUGUCACGUCGGGAGUGAAAACCCAGGGCUCAACCCUGGGCCUGCUUCCGAUACGGGCAGACUAGAGGUAUGCAGGGGAGAAUGGAAUUCCUGGUGUAGCGGUGAAAUGCGCAGAUAUCAGGAGGAACACCGGUGGCGAAGGCGGGUCUCUGGGCCGAAACUGACGCUGAGGAGCGAAAGCGUGGGGAGCGAACAGG